This is a non-coding RNA of Periconia digitata, 92 nucleotides long. The record is from the annotation of a GenBank genome assembly. Lineage: Eukaryota; Fungi; Ascomycota; Dothideomycetes; Pleosporales; Periconiaceae.
CUCCUUUAUAGUGUAGAGGUUAUCACACCGGAUUUUGAUAUGCGUUAUCAGAAGUCUUCCGGUAACCCAAGUUCGAAUCUUGGUAAGGGAUC